GACGAACGCUGGCGGCGUGCUUAACACAUGCAAGUCGAACGGAAAGGCCCUGCUUUUGUGGGGUGCUCGAGUGGCGAACGGGUGAGUAACACGUGAGUAACCUGCCCUUGACUUUGGGAUAACUUCAGGAAACUGGGGCUAAUACCGGAUAGGAGCUCCUGCUGCAUGGUGGGGGUUGGAAAGUUUCGGCGGUUGGGGAUGGACUCGCGGCUUAUCAGCUUGUUGGUGGGGUAGUGGCUUACCAAGGCUUUGACGGGUAGCCGGCCUGAGAGGGUGACCGGCCACAUUGGGACUGAGAUACGGCCCAGACUCCUACGGGAGGCAGCAGUGGGGAAUAUUGCACAAUGGGCGGAAGCCUGAUGCAGCAACGCCGCGUGCGGGAUGACGGCCUUCGGGUUGUAAACCGCUUUCGCCUGUGACGAAGCGUGAGUGACGGUAAUGGGUAAAGAAGCACCGGCUAACUACGUGCCAGCAGCCGCGGUGAUACGUAGGGUGCGAGCGUUGUCCGGAUUUAUUGGGCGUAAAGGGCUCGUAGGUGGUUGAUCGCGUCGGAAGUGUAGUCUUGGGGCUUAACCCUGAGCGUGCUUUCGAUACGGGUUGACUUGAGGAAGGUAGGGGAGAAUGGAAUUCCUGGUGGAGCGGUGGAAUGCGCAGAUAUCAGGAGGAACACCAGUGGCGAAGGCGGUUCUCUGGGCCUUUCUUGACGCUGAGGAGCGAAAGCGUGGGGAGCGAACAGGCUUAGAUACCCUGGUAGUCCACGCUGUAAACGGUGGGUACUAGGUGUGGGGUCCAUUCCACGGGUUCCGUGCCGUAGCUAACGCUUUAAGUACCCCGCCUGGGGAGUACGGCCGCAAGGCUAAAACUCAAAGGAAUUGACGGGGCCCCGCACAAGCGGCGGAGCAUGCGGAUUAAUUCGAUGCAACGCGUAGAACCUUACCUGGGUUUGACAUGGAUCGGGAGUGCUCAGAGAUGGGUGUGCCUCUUUUGGGGUCGGUUCACAGGUGGUGCAUGGCUGUCGUCAGCUCGUGUCGUGAGAUGUUGGGUUAAGUCCCGCAACGAGCGCAACCCUUGUUCACUGUUGCCAGCACGUUAUGGUGGGGACUCAGUGGAGACCGCCGGGGUCAACUCGGAGGAAGGUGGGGAUGACGUCAAGUCAUCAUGCCCCUUAUGUCCAGGGCUUCACGCAUGCUACAAUGGCUGGUACAGAGAGUGGCGAGCCUGUGAGGGUGAGCGAAUCUCGGAAAGCCGGUCUCAGUUCGGAUUGGGGUCUGCAACUCGACCUCAUGAAGUCGGAGUCGCUAGUAAUCGCAGCUCAGCAACGCUGCGGUGAAUACGUUCCCGGG
RNAcentral lists this ribosomal RNA (1343 nucleotides) under uncultured bacterium. RNAcentral describes it as "16S ribosomal RNA". It matches the Rfam family "Bacterial small subunit ribosomal RNA", at positions 28 to 1378 of the family's 1533-position model. The record is from RNAcentral.